Colletotrichum gloeosporioides is the source of this 86-nucleotide non-coding RNA. Lineage: Eukaryota; Fungi; Ascomycota; Sordariomycetes; Glomerellales; Glomerellaceae. The record is from Rfam.
GCGUUCUUAGUGUAGCGGUUAUCAUCCAAGCCUUCCAUUCGAGAAAUCGAGAGCUUGGGACAGGGGUUCGACUCCCCUAGGACGCA